CCUACGGGGGGCAGCAGUGAGGAAUAUUGGUCCAUGGACGAGAGUCUGAACCAGCCAAGUAGCGUGCAGGAUGACUGCCCUAUGGGUUGUAAACUUCUUUUAUAUGGGAAUAAAAUGUUCCACGUGUGGGAUUUUGUAUGUACCAUAUGACUAAGGAUCGGCUAACUCCGUUCCAGCCGCCGCGGUAAUACGGAGGAUCCGAGCGUUAUCCGGAUUUAUUGGGUUUAAAGGGAGCGUAGGUGGAUUGUUAAGUCAGUUGUGAAAGUUUGCGGCUCAACCGUAAAAUUGCAGUUGAAACUGGCAGUCUUGAGUACAGUAGAGGUGGGCGGAAUUCGUGGUGUAGCGGUGAAAGGCUUAGAUAUCACGAAGAACUCCGAUUGCGAAGGCAGCUCACUGGACUGCAACUGACACUGAGGCUCGAAAGUGUGGGUAGCAAACAGGAUUAGAGACCCGAGUAGUC
Molecule: ribosomal RNA, 460 nt
Filed under: uncultured bacterium
Lineage: Bacteria
Description: partial 16S ribosomal RNA
Rfam family: Bacterial small subunit ribosomal RNA
Source: RNAcentral